GUCCUCUUCAUCUAAUGGUAGGAUAUCACUCUUUCACGGUGAAAACAGGGGUUCAAAUCCCCUAGGGGAUA
Molecule: transfer RNA, 71 nt
Filed under: Candidatus Vidania fulgoroideorum
Lineage: Bacteria; Pseudomonadati; Pseudomonadota; Betaproteobacteria
Description: tRNA-Glu
Rfam family: tRNA
About the family: Transfer RNA (tRNA) molecules are approximately 80 nucleotides in length. Their secondary structure includes four short double-helical elements and three loops (D, anti-codon, and T loops).
Source: RNAcentral